Molecule: ribosomal RNA, 497 nt
Filed under: uncultured bacterium
Lineage: Bacteria
Description: partial 16S ribosomal RNA
Rfam family: Bacterial small subunit ribosomal RNA
Source: RNAcentral
GAUGAACGCUGGCGGCGUGCCUAAUACAUGCAAGUCGAGCGAACGGACGAGAAGCUUGCUUCUCUGAUGUUAGCGGCGGACGGGUGAGUAACACGUGGAUAACCUACCUAUAAGACUGGGAUAACUUCGGGAAACCGGAGCUAAUACCGGAUAAUAUUUUGAACCGCAUGGUUCAAAAGAGAAAGACGGUCUUGCUGUCACUUAUAGAUGGAUCCGCGCUGCAUUAGCUAGUUGGUAAGGUAACGGCUUACCAAGGCAACGAUGCAUAGCCGACCUGAGAGGGUGAUCGGCCACACUGGAACUGAGACACGGUCCAGACUCCUACGGGAGGCAGCAGUAGGGAAUCUUCCGCAAUGGGCGAAAGCCUGACGGAGCAACGCCGCGUGAGUGAUGAAGGUCUUCGGAUCGUAAAACUCUGUUAUUAGGGAAGAACAUAUGUGUAAGUAACUGUGCACAUCUUGACGGUACCUAAUCAGAAAGCCACGGCUAACUACGUG